Molecule: ribosomal RNA, 467 nt
Filed under: uncultured bacterium
Lineage: Bacteria
Description: partial 16S ribosomal RNA
Rfam family: Bacterial small subunit ribosomal RNA
Source: RNAcentral
GACGAACGCUGGCGGCGUGCUUAACACAUGCAAGUCGAACGGAAAGGCCCUGCUUUUGUGGGGUGCUCGAGUGGCGAACGGGUGAGUAACACGUGAGUAACCUGCCCUUGACUUUGGGAUAACUUCAGGAAACUGGGGCUAAUACCGGAUAGGAGCUCCUGCUGCAUGGUGGGGGUUGGAAAGUUUCGGCGGUUGGGGAUGGACUCGCGGCUUAUCAGCUUGUUGGUGGGGUAGUGGCUUACCAAGGCUUUGACGGGUAGCCGGCCUGAGAGGGUGACCGGCCACAUGGGGACUGAGAUACGGCCCAGACUCUUACGGGGGGCAGCAGUGGGGAAUAUGGCACAAGGGGCGGAAGCCGGAUGCAGCAACGCCGCGUGCGGGAUGACGGCCUUCGGGUGGUAAACCGCUUUCGCCUGUGACGAAGCGUGAGUGACGGUAAUGGGUAAAGAAGCACCGGCUAACUACGU